GACGAACGCUGGCGGCGUGCUUAACACAUGCAAGUCGAACGGAAAGGCCCUGCUUUUGUGGGGUGCUCGAGUGGCGAACGGGUGAGUAACACGUGAGUAACGUGCCCUUGACUUUGGGAUAACUUCAGGAAACUGGGGCUAAUACCGGAUAGGAGCUCCUGCUGCAUGGUGGGGGUGGGAAAGUUUCGGCGGUUGGGGAUGGACUCGCGGCUUAUCAGCUUGUUGGUGGGGUAGUGGCUUACCAAGGCUUUGACGGGUAGCCGGCCUGAGAGGGUGACCGGCCACAUUGGGACUGAGAUACGGCCCAGACUCCUACGGGAGGCAGCAGUGGGGAAUAUUGCACAAUGGGCGGAAGCCUGAUGCAGCAACGCCGCGUGCGGGAUGACGGCCUUCGGGUUGUAAACCGCUUUCGCCUGUGACGAAGCGUGAGUGACGGUAAUGGGUAAAGAAGCACCGGCUAACUACGUG
This 468-nucleotide ribosomal RNA is filed under the name uncultured bacterium. RNAcentral's name for it is "partial 16S ribosomal RNA". It matches the Rfam family "Bacterial small subunit ribosomal RNA", at positions 28 to 507 of the family's 1533-position model. The record is from RNAcentral.